This 610-nucleotide ribosomal RNA is filed under the name Paracoccus sp. (in: a-proteobacteria). RNAcentral describes it as "bacterial SSU rRNA". It matches the Rfam family "Bacterial small subunit ribosomal RNA", at positions 37 to 693 of the family's 1533-position model. Lineage: Bacteria; Pseudomonadati; Pseudomonadota; Alphaproteobacteria; Rhodobacterales; Paracoccaceae. The record is from RNAcentral.
UAAGGGGGCAGCUUACACAUGCAAGUCGAGCGAGACCUUCGGGUCUAGCGGCGGACGGGUGAGUAACGCGUGGGAACGUGCCCUUUGCUACGGAAUAGUCCCGGGAAACUGGGUUUAAUACCGUAUGUGCCCUUCGGGGGAAAGAUUUAUCGGCAAAGGAUCGGCCCGCGUUGGAUUAGGUAGUUGGUGGGGUAAUGGCCUACCAAGCCGACGAUCCAUAGCUGGUUUGAGAGGAUGAUCAGCCACACUGGGACUGAGACACGGCCCAGACUCCUACGGGAGGCAGCAGUGGGGAAUCUUAGACAAUGGGGGCAACCCUGAUCUAGCCAUGCCGCGUGAGUGAUGAAGGCCUUAGGGUUGUAAAGCUCUUUCAGCUGGGAAGAUAAUGACGGUACCAGCAGAAGAAGCCCCGGCUAACUCCGUGCCAGCAGCCGCGGUAAUACGGAGGGGGCUAGCGUUGUUCGGAAUUACUGGGCGUAAAGCGCACGUAGGCGGACUGGAAAGUUGGGGGUGAAAUCCCGGGGCUCAACCUCGGAACUGCCUUCAAAACUAUCAGUCUGGAGUUCGAGAGAGGUGAGUGGAAUACCGAGUGUAGAGGUGAAAUUCGUAG